GACGAACGCUGGCGGCGUGCUUAACACAUGCAAGUCGAACGGAAAGGCCCCUUUGGGGGUACUCGAGUGGCGAACGGGUGAGUAACACGUGAGUAACCUGCCCUUGACUUCGGGAUAACUUCAGGAAACUGGGGCUAAUACCGGAUAGGAAUCCUUGCUGCAUGGUGGGGGUUGGAAAGCUUCGGCGGUUUUGGAUGGACUCGCGGCUUAUCAGCUUGUUGGUGGGGUAGUGGCUUACCAAGGCUUGACGGGUAGCCGGCCUGAGAGGGCGACCGGCCACAUUGGGACUGAGAUACGGCCCAGACUCCUACGGGAGGCAGCAGUGGGGAAUAUUGCACAAUGGGCGGAAGCCUGAUGCAGCAACGCCGCGUGCGGGAUGACGGCCUUCGGGUUGGAAACCGCUUUCAGCAGGGGCGAAGCUUGUGGUGACGGUACCUGCAGAAGAAGCACCGGCUAACUACGUG
This 464-nucleotide ribosomal RNA is filed under the name uncultured bacterium. Its description in RNAcentral is "partial 16S ribosomal RNA". It matches the Rfam family "Bacterial small subunit ribosomal RNA", at positions 28 to 507 of the family's 1533-position model. The record is from RNAcentral.